AGAGUUUGAUCCUGGCUCAGAACGAACGCUGGCGGCGUACCUAACACAUGCAAGUCGAACGAGAAAUUCCGAUUCGUCGGGAGAGUAAAGUGGCGAAUGGGUGAGUAAUGCGAGGGUAAUCUACCCUUGAAUUAGGGAUAACUUUGCGAAAGCGAAGCUAAUACCUAAUAAGACUACAGUCUCUUAGGAGACAGUAGGAAAAGAUGGCCUCUGUUUCAAGCUACUGUUUAAGGAUGAGCCCUUGUACUAUUAGCUAGUUGGCGGGGUAACGGCCCACCAAGGCAACGAUGGGUAGCCGACCUGAGAGGGUGAUCGGCCACACUGGGACUGAGAUACGGCCCAGACUCCUACGGGAGGCAGCAGUGAGGAAUAUUGCGCAAUGGAGGAAACUCUGACGCAGCAACGCCGCGUGCGGGAUGACGCUUUUAGGAGUGUAAACCGCUGUUAGUAGGGACGAAUAAGGUGAGUUUGAAUAAGGUUCACCGAUGACGGUACCUACAGAGAAAGCCCCGGCUAACUCCGUGCCAGCAGCCGCGGUAAUACGGAGGGGGCGAGCGUUGUCCGGAAUUAUUGGGCGUAAAGGGCGCGUAGGCGGGCUGAUAAGUCUGAGGUGAAAGUUUGCGGCUUAACCGUAAAAUUGCCUUGGAUACUGCCAGUCUUGAGUUCGGAAGAGGAAAGUGGAAUUCCUGGUGUAGCGGUGAAAUGCGUAGAUAUCAGGAAGAACACCGGUGGCGAAGGCGGCUUUCUGGUCCGAAACUGACGCUGAGGCGCGAAAGUGUGGGUAGCGAACAGGAUUAGAUACCCUGGUAGUCCACACAGUAAACGAUGGAUACUAGGUGUUGGAUGGUAACGUUCAGCGCCGGAGCAAACGCAUUAAGUAUCCCGCCUGGGGAGUACGAUCGCAAGAUUGAAACUCAAAGGAAUUGACGGGGCCCGCACAAGCGGUGGAGCAUGUGGUUUAAUUCGAUGCA
Molecule: ribosomal RNA, 971 nt
Filed under: uncultured bacterium
Lineage: Bacteria
Description: bacterial SSU rRNA
Rfam family: Bacterial small subunit ribosomal RNA
Source: RNAcentral